Molecule: ribosomal RNA, 501 nt
Filed under: uncultured bacterium
Lineage: Bacteria
Description: bacterial SSU rRNA
Rfam family: Bacterial small subunit ribosomal RNA
Source: RNAcentral
GACGAACGCUGGCGGCGUGCCUAAUACAUGCAAGUCGAGCGGACCAAAGGGAGCUUGCUCCUGGAGGUCAGCGGCGAACGGGUGAGUAGCACGUGGGCAACCUGCCUGUAAGACUGGGAUAACAUCGAGAAAUCGGUGCUAAUACCGGAUAAUAAAAAGAACUGCAUGGUUCUUUUUUGAAAGAUGGUUUCGGCUAUCACUUACAGAUGGCCGCGGCGCAUUAGCUAGUUGGUGAGGUAACGGCUCACCAAGGCAACGAUGCGUAGCCGACCUGAGAGGGUGAUCGGCCACACUGGGACUGAGACACGGCCCAGACUCCUACGGGAGGCAGCAGUAGGGAAUCUUCCGCAAUGGACGAAAGUCUGACGGAGCAACGCCGCGUGAGUGAUGAAGGUUUUCGGAUCGUAAAACUCUGUUGUUAGGGAAGAACAAGUGCCGUUCGAAAGGGCGGCACCUUGACGGUACCUAACGAGAAAGCCACGGCUAACUAUGUGCCAGCAG